Cryptotermes secundus is the source of this 694-nucleotide long non-coding RNA. RefSeq lists it as uncharacterized. The transcript has 3 exons. The record is from RefSeq and is a predicted model, not a curated record. NCBI's taxonomy places the organism in Eukaryota, Metazoa, Arthropoda, Insecta, Blattodea, Kalotermitidae.
AUACCACCAAAAGCACCAGUCCCAAGCGGACGGCCCUUCGUGCAGACAAUAGACUCUCCGCACAAGGUGCGAGACGGUGAGACAGAAUACUCCAAAUUGAUAUGCCAUUUGUGCUGCACCCUUGGGGCAGAUGUGAAUACUAAAGAAUUGCUAAUGUCUUCUCAAUCUGUGACGAGAAAUACGAGGAAAAAUUUUACAGCGCCUUAAUAUCUCCAGCUUCAGGAAAGGAUGACACAUGAAAAGGCUGGAGAAAUUGACACUGGCGAUUAUCGUUUAAAACUAUUUUACGGUUCUCUAAAAUUGUUUUCCUGUGAACUGAGUGGGUUCAUAUUUCUUGGAAUCCUGUGCUUGUGUGCUGUUUUAUACUUUCCUAGGUUUUCAGUGAUUAUUUAACGAAUUUCUGUUGCCAGUGUAGCGGCUGCGAGCAGUCAUAUUGGUGCGUAUGUAAUGAAGCCUUUGUUAUUCUGUUCGAAACCCGUAUACCUCGCUACGAAUUGCAAACGUGAUCACGUCAGCCACUUCCUGACUGUUGAUGCAAGGCGCCAUUUAUAUUACUGUCAUUCAGACUUGUAGGGAUGAUUACGAGGCAAUUUGAAACUCCUUAGGCCUGUCGGAUAGACCGCCCCUGUGGUCUAGUGGCCAGAGUUCCUGGCUACAGAUCCAGAGGUCCGGGUUCGAUUCCCGGCGCUACCAG